AGUGAGAUCUUCGGAUUGGAGCCGCCGCGGUCGGCAACGGCCAGGUGGAUUUCGAGAAGUUGUUCAAACCAGAUCAUUUAGAGGAAGAAAAGUCGGAACAAGGUUUCCGGAGGUGAACCUGCGGAAGGAUCAUUAC
This 136-nucleotide ribosomal RNA is filed under the name Axinella corrugata. RNAcentral describes it as "partial 18S ribosomal RNA". It matches the Rfam family "Eukaryotic small subunit ribosomal RNA", at positions 1700 to 1831 of the family's 1831-position model. Lineage: Eukaryota; Metazoa; Porifera; Demospongiae; Axinellida; Axinellidae. The record is from RNAcentral.